GUUAGUUGGGUGUUUGCUGUUUCCAUUUGGCCUAAACUGUUAACCAUAAUAAUUUAGUUGCUUGCAGUUUUAUCUGACCCUUGCUUUUCACAUCUACCUCAAAUCAUGGAUUUACUGGAUGCUGGGACGUCAUUAACACCAAAAAUCAGGGAAAUGAUCUCAAGGGGAUCUGGAGAAAUGAAAUGCUCUGCAAGGCCAGACCAGACUCCGGAUUUCAUCACCCCUGCCUACGUCUGAGAUCCGCUCCAGUCCCUGAAGUCACACCAUAGGAUCCUUCUUCGUUCCUGCGGCAGUCCAUGCUGUGCUCCCCUCAGGCCCUGGAAAAGAGGGCCAGCCUUACCUUAGUGCUGCAUGCCUAUGUUUCUCCAGGAUGGAUGGACCACUGAUCACUGCAGUGUUCUUGCAUUCGCACGUUCCUCAGUGCCGCAUAUCUAAAUUUACAGGAUUCAGGCAGUGAAUCACUGCUAUACUCCCGGCUUGCUAAACGCGCUCACUGGCUGCUGAUUACAAUACCUUCCCUAUGCUUCGCCACUUGUUAUCACUUUAGAUGUCUGAGAUUGUAUGGUAACAUACGGCUGAAGAGCGUCACUGCUACUGACCUCUUUCAGUAACAUACUGAGAACCUUUUAGCAGUCAACAGCCUGA
Brienomyrus brachyistius is the source of this 645-nucleotide long non-coding RNA. RefSeq lists it as uncharacterized. NCBI's taxonomy places the organism in Eukaryota, Metazoa, Chordata, Actinopteri, Osteoglossiformes, Mormyridae. The transcript is spliced from 3 exons. The record is from RefSeq and is a predicted model, not a curated record.